AUGUGGAUUUUGAUCCAGCAGCGUACAGGAUCACAGCUCAUCACAAAAUGCUGUGACACUCCCACCAGCUGCCACAUCACACAGAGCUCCACUGUGACAGCUCUUCAUAUCUCUGGAACUGUACUGACAGUCAUAUAUGAGACUCUGCUGCUCUCUGACUCCCACAACAUGGACAGCAUCAUCAUCAUCCUCAUCAAACAUGGCUUCCUCAGCUUGUCAGCAUUACUGCUCUGGAUUACAGGUCUGACUGUUGGCAGUGAUGUCACCCAGACCCCCAAACUGUGGAAAAAUGUGGGUGAAAAUGCAACGAUACACUGUAAUCACACCAAGGGCAUUAACUACAAUCAGAUGUACUGGUACAGACAGGUCCCAGGAGAAGGAAUGAAACAAAUAGUGCUCAGUCCUACAUUCGGCAAACCUGAAUAUGAACCCGACUUCAAAGAGGAGAAAUUCCCAGUGACCAAGCCUGAUGCUGCCAGUGGGACUUUGACAGUGAAGGAUUUGGUAGCAGAAGAUAAAGGCUUGUAUUUCUGUGCUGUCAGUGAGCACAGUGAUACAGAUUUACUCAAUCGCUGA
This is a non-coding RNA of Myripristis murdjan (pinecone soldierfish), 576 nucleotides long. The record is from the annotation of a RefSeq genome assembly. Lineage: Eukaryota; Metazoa; Chordata; Actinopteri; Holocentriformes; Holocentridae.